AUGGAAAUACAUUCCCAUACAAAGAAAACAGAUUUUAAGGGCAAAGUAUCUAUUUUAGAAUUGUGUAUUUAUAGUCAGUAUCUUAAAAAUUUAAAUUUCAAUUACAUGUGUUGCUCUCCUGUCAUUUGCUCCAUGUACACACACUCUGGAUGCCUUAUCUGCAAAAGUAUGCGUAUGAGUGCACUGCACUUCACUGCGGAUCUUCCCCAGUCACUGCCGGCUAUCAUGCGCUUCUGUUACGGAUUCUUCUCAUCACCAUGAUUCUUAGGAACAGCAUCCAUUUCUUAUUCACACCUUUAGCUCCAUAAGUUCACGCACUGUUGCACUACUUUAUAUGCACCAGACAUUCAAUAAAGCUUUAUGGAAUGAAUUCUUCUGUUAUCAUAAUUUUUUAUUCUGAAUUAUUCUUAUUUGAGUAGUCACUGCAGAAACCAGUAGAAAAAAAGUUACUAUCUAUAAUCUUUUAACAGCAAACAAUAGAAAUGAUUAAUCUUUCAAUUAUAAAUUCUAUUAGAGGUGAGUCUAGAGAUCACCCUCAUUCAUAAAACGAGGCAGUAGAAGCCCGUAACAACACUGCCGUCGGGACUAAGCAAUAGGCCUGGACAAUAAGUUUCCUCGUAACUGAGAAAAAGACACACUGCAUAGCAAAGGGUACAUGGGAGACGUCACUUGGCAUAAAAUAUAAAUGAACGCACGGCACACCAAAGUGGUUCAUAAUGAAGUUUUGCUGAAUAUUCUUUUUUUUUUUUUUUUUCCUCCGGUACCGGGAACCAAACUCAAGACCUUGCGCUUGCCAGGCAGGCGCUUUUGCCGCUGAGCUAAAUCCCCAGCCCCUGCUGAAUAUUCUUAUUACCCCAUCAAAGCGGUCAAAUUUUAAAAGCUCCAAAUCAACAAGGCUUAAAGGAAUAGCAGGGCUCAUUUCUUGGCAUGACACGAUUCUCUGUUCAGAGUUCUGAAGUGCACAUAAACUGAGAAGUGUGUGAUGGAAGAAUUGAUCAAACAAUUUCAUUUCAUUGACCUAAACAAUGAAUCACAAUUUGAAAAUUACUCACCAAAAAUGAUAACAAAACAUCCAAACACCUCGAUUCCUAGUUUAAAAAAACCAAGCACCCCCACCCUGCACAUAGAGAUACUGAAUAUGUACUUUUGCAUAGAUGAAUAAAUGAUUAGCUACUUUUUAUUUGUGCAGUGCUGGGGAUCAAAUUUAAAUCUAUACAUGAGCUAGGCAAGCACACUACACUGAGCUACACCCCAGCCCUUUAUUUUUCCCUUUUUCUUUUACUUGUUGCUUUUUAAAUUAAAAUAUUUUUCAAUAUUCUAUAAAGCCCCUUGACAAGUGACAUAAUGCUAAUAUGUGAGCAUGUAUUUCAGGGAAGGAAGCUGCAAAUCUGUCUGUUGGCUGAGUCUGGGAAACACUCCCCAGUCUCCAGGCUGCUGCUGGCUGUGCAGGACGACACCUGCAGGGCAGUGCGCCGCUUUCCGCGUCCUGGCCUCUGCUUACCAACCUCAGUGACCGGGGCGGGCAGUCCCAAUUAGGAUGAAAGCAAUAGCGAGCUGCCCUUUAAACAAAUCUGGAGGCAAAAGGACGAAGUAAAAAACAUACACAGCAUGGAAAAAGGAGAAAAGUGCUGUUAAAAUAUAUGCAAACCAUUACUGGGUGACUAGUAAAGAAAACUUUUAAAUAACAUAUUUUGAAGGUGCUAGUUUUUCUAAGGUUAUUUUUAAGCAUAUUCCAGUUUCCCAUAUAAUUAAAAUUUCCAGACACUUUGUAUUCACAAAAACCCAAAUGGGAAUGAAAGCAACCCACAACAAUAGAGAGCAAUUUUAAAAAUGACUUCUGUCACUCGCUUCUCACCAAGGAAUAGCUUUAAAAUGGAGUUCAUAGUGUAGCUCCGGGUUCUUCAGUAACAUUUCCCAAGGACUUGGGACAGAACUGCCAAGGACUGCAACAAGUUUUUCUUUAGGAUUUUUUACAAAAGAAUUUACUAAGUGCCAUACUGUUACCAAAAAUCAACAUAAGAAGUCUCUUUACUUUUUGCCUUACAGAUUUAGACUUAUACUGACUACUUAUCUCAAACGCAUAGUGUCAAUUUUUCAAAACAAGCAUUGUACAAACACAUCACUUAGCAAGGGUGACUACAGUCAAAGAACUGGUUGUUCUGUCUCUUUGACAGCUUACUUUUGCCACCUAGUGGGGGAGGCAGUUUCAUAGUCUGGUUUUGUAUUUCUGUAAGAUUGUCUCCUAAAAUUUAGGACAACGAUUGCCUGCUUAGAAGAUAAUGAUCAAACAUAUUUUUACAACCUUAAGUAAUUUCUCCAAAUUGGUCUAUUUUAUGCCUAUUGACUUUUUAGAAAGCAGCUGGUUUUCAUAAUAAUGAUUAACUUAAUGAAUUAAAAUAAUACCUUUUCAUAGACAUUAUUUGUGAUUGGAGGGGUGGGCCUUUUACGCAUUUCUAAUUGUUCUCUAUCCCUUUUCUUUGUAGCAUUUUAAGUGGGGACCGGGAUCAGGUUACUGGGCUGGGCAGGAGGAAACAUGAUGACCAAGAGUUAGGUGGAGCACUAACCACAGGAAGCAAAUCUACAUCUUCUCCCUUCAUUUCAGAUCAUGGCUCUAUUCCCGAUCUUCAGUUAUCUACUGAGUGUCAGCUCUGGAACUGACAUUUAACGCGGCAAAAAUCAAAGUCACCAUCUUCCAAAAGAAACAAAGAAUGGGGCUUCUUUUUGAGUGAGUGGCACAGGCUUAAUCAGAGCUGGAGUACAGCCCAGGGCUAUAAAUGGCAGAAGAGAUUUUUUUUCCUGAAGUGUGCAAAAAUUAAUGAAACAAGCAAAAGGAACAAUCAGAAGUCAGGAUCAGGUUACCGGGCUGGGCAGGAGGAAACAUGACGACCAAGAGUUAGGUGGAGCCGUAACAACAGGAAGUGAGGCUCAGACCAUGAGAAAUUUGAAGUAGGUCACAAAGCUAAGGCUAAGGGAACUGGAAGGAAGACGUAAAAGAGGCAGAGAGUACCAAAACUCAUCCUUAGGCUUGAGGUACAUGCCGGAGUUGAGAGGGCUGUGGGUCCUGAGACACGCAGAAGUCUUGGGCCUGCAAAUUUAUUGUUUACCAAAAUUUCCAUUAUCACAAAUUUCUUACUGUGGAAGCUUAUGAAACUACUUUGACAUAGCUUUCUUGAGGUAUAAUUUGCAUACCCUAAAGUUUAUCCAUUGUGAGUAGCUUUAGUAAAUUCAGCAAGUUGUACGAACAUUACCAUGCUCUAGUCUUAGGACACUUCCAUCACCACAAGGACUUUCUCUGCUCCCACUCCUAGUCCGAGGUACCCAUUGAUCUGCUGUUGUAGAUAAUGUCUGUUCUGGAAAUUUCACGAGCACAAUCAUACAGUACGUGCCCCCUUCCUUGUGCCUGAUGUAAGGUGUUUUUGAGACUCAUAAAUAUGCAUAUAUAUAUAUAUAUAG
This is a long non-coding RNA of Chinchilla lanigera (long-tailed chinchilla), 3453 nucleotides long. The record is from Ensembl. Lineage: Eukaryota; Metazoa; Chordata; Mammalia; Rodentia; Chinchillidae.